Molecule: small nucleolar RNA, 132 nt
Filed under: Meriones unguiculatus (Mongolian gerbil)
Lineage: Eukaryota; Metazoa; Chordata; Mammalia; Rodentia; Muridae
Description: Small nucleolar RNA SNORA55 (ENSMUGG00000007656.1)
Rfam family: Small nucleolar RNA SNORA55
About the family: ACA55 is a member of the H/ACA class of snoRNA that guide the sites of modification of uridines to pseudouridines.
Source: RNAcentral
GCACUCAAAUCUUUCCCAGCCCUGCUGCUUGGUGCCGGUCUGGGGACAGAUGGUGCUAUAGUAGAGCAGAGGAAAUCCAGACGGGUCGCUUCCAUUUGUCCUGGGGCCUGUCUCUACAGCUCUGCCACACUU